RNAcentral lists this ribosomal RNA (639 nucleotides) under Bacillus sp. MAC-B4A-SW. RNAcentral's name for it is "bacterial SSU rRNA". It matches the Rfam family "Bacterial small subunit ribosomal RNA", at positions 52 to 675 of the family's 1533-position model. Lineage: Bacteria; Bacillati; Bacillota; Bacilli; Caryophanales; Bacillaceae. The record is from RNAcentral.
UACAUGCAGUCGAGCGAAUCGAUGGGAGCUUGCUCCCUGAGAUUAGCGGCGGACGGGUGAGUAACACGUGGGCAACCUGCCUAUAAGACUGGGAUAACUUCGGGAAACCGGAGCUAAUACCGGAUACGUUCUUUUCUCGCAUGAGAGAAGAUGGAAAGACGGUUUACGCUGUCACUUAUAGAUGGGCCCGCGGCGCAUUAGCUAGUUGGUGAGGUAAUGGCUCACCAAGGCGACGAUGCGUAGCCGACCUGAGAGGGUGAUCGGCCACACUGGGACUGAGACACGGCCCAGACUCCUACGGGAGGCAGCAGUAGGGAAUCUUCCGCAAUGGACGAAAGUCUGACGGAGCAACGCCGCGUGAACGAAGAAGGCCUUCGGGUCGUAAAGUUCUGUUGUUAGGGAAGAACAAGUACCAGAGUAACUGCUGGUACCUUGACGGUACCUAACCAGAAAGCCACGGCUAACUACGUGCCAGCAGCCGCGGUAAUACGUAGGUGGCAAGCGUUGUCCGGAAUUAUUGGGCGUAAAGCGCGCGCAGGUGGUUCCUUAAGUCUGAUGUGAAAGCCCACGGCUCAACCGUGGAGGGUCAUUGGAAACUGGGGAACUUGAGUGCAGAAGAGGAAAGUGGAAUUCCAAGUG